This 800-nucleotide ribosomal RNA is filed under the name Micrococcus sp. DFM76a. RNAcentral describes it as "bacterial SSU rRNA". It matches the Rfam family "Bacterial small subunit ribosomal RNA", at positions 100 to 912 of the family's 1533-position model. Lineage: Bacteria; Bacillati; Actinomycetota; Actinomycetes; Micrococcales; Micrococcaceae. The record is from RNAcentral.
GAACGGGUGAGUAACACGUGAGUAACCUGCCCUUAACUCUGGGAUAAGCCUGGGAAACUGGGUCUAAUACCGGAUAGGAGCGUCCACCGCAUGGUGGGUGUUGGAAAGAUUUAUCGGUUUUGGAUGGACUCGCGGCCUAUCAGCUUGUUGGUGAGGUAAUGGCUCACCAAGGCGACGACGGGUAGCCGGCCUGAGAGGGUGACCGGCCACACUGGGACUGAGACACGGCCCAGACUCCUACGGGAGGCAGCAGUGGGGAAUAUUGCACAAUGGGCGCAAGCCUGAUGCAGCGACGCCGCGUGAGGGAUGACGGCCUUCGGGUUGUAAACCUCUUUCAGUAGGGAAGAAGCGAAAGUGACGGUACCUGCAGAAGAAGCACCGGCUAACUACGUGCCAGCAGCCGCGGUAAUACGUAGGGUGCGAGCGUUAUCCGGAAUUAUUGGGCGUAAAGAGCUCGUAGGCGGUUUGUCGCGUCUGUCGUGAAAGUCCGGGGCUUAACCCCGGAUCUGCGGUGGGUACGGGCAGACUAGAGUGCAGUAGGGGAGACUGGAAUUCCUGGUGUAGCGGUGGAAUGCGCAGAUAUCAGGAGGAACACCGAUGGCGAAGGCAGGUCUCUGGGCUGUAACUGACGCUGAGGAGCGAAAGCAUGGGGAGCGAACAGGAUUAGAUACCCUGGUAGUCCAUGCCGUAAACGUUGGGCACUAGGUGUGGGGACCAUUCCACGGUUUCCGCGCCGCAGCUAACGCAUUAAGUGCCCCGCCUGGGGAGUACGGCCGCAAGGCUAAAACUCAAAGGAAUUG